GUUCCAUUAGCUGGUUGGCGGGGUAACGGCCCACCAAGGCAACGAUGGAUAGGGGAACUGAGAGGUUCAUCCCCCACACUGGAACUGAGACACGGUCCAGACUCCUACGGGAGGCAGCAGUGAGGAAUCUUGGUCAAUGGAGGCAACUCUGAACCAGCCACGUCGCGUGAAGGACGAAGGCCUUACGGGUCGUAAACUUCUUUUUCGGGGGAAUAAACGGGGUCACGGGUGGCCCCUUGCAUGUACCCCGCGAACAAGGAUCGGCUAACUCCGUGCCAGCAGCCGCGGUAAUACGGAGGAUCCGAGCGUUAUCCGGAUUUAUUGGGUUUAAAGGGUGCGCAGGCGGGUUGCUAAGUCGGUGGUGAAAUCCCGGGGCUCAACCCCGGGCUUGCCAUCGAAACUGGUUACCUCGAGUGUGGUUGAGGCAGGCGGAAUUCGUGGUGUAGCGGUGAAAUGCAUAGAUAUCACGAGGAACCCCGAUCGCGUAGGCAGCUUGCCAAGCCAUAACUGACGCUCAUGCACGAAGGCGUGGGGAUCAAACAGGAUUAGAUACCCUGGUAGUCCACGCGGUAAACGAUGAUUACUGGCUGUUCGCGAUACACUGCGAGCGGCCCAGCGAAAGCGUUAAGUA
This 631-nucleotide ribosomal RNA is filed under the name uncultured bacterium. RNAcentral's name for it is "bacterial SSU rRNA". It matches the Rfam family "Bacterial small subunit ribosomal RNA", at positions 235 to 866 of the family's 1533-position model. The record is from RNAcentral.